Molecule: ribosomal RNA, 348 nt
Filed under: Triticum aestivum (bread wheat)
Lineage: Eukaryota; Viridiplantae; Streptophyta; Magnoliopsida; Poales; Poaceae
Description: partial small subunit ribosomal RNA
Source: RNAcentral
AUGGAGGGUACUCAUAGGAUACUUGUCUAUGAAUAUUUGAACAAUGGAAACCUAGAGCAAUGGCUUCAUGGAGCUAUGAGUCACCGGGGCUCCCUUACAUGGGAGGCCCGCAUAAAGAUUCUUCUAGAGACAGGUAAGGCGUUUGCUUACUUGCAUGAGGCAAUUGAACUAAAAGUCGUGCAUCGUGAUAUCAAGUCUAGCACUACUUUGAUUGAUGAUGAUUUUGAUGCUAAAGUAUCAUAUUUUGGUUUAGCCAAGCAUCUUGGUGUCGGCAAGAGUCAUGUAACUACUCGGGUUAUGGGAGCCUUCGGUUAUGUGGCACCAGAAUAUGCAAACACUGGACUGUGA